GACGAACGCUGGCGGCGUGCCUAAUACAUGCAAGUAGAACGCUGAAGAGAGGAGCUUGCUCUUCUUGGAUGAGUUGCGAACGGGUGAGUAACGCGUAGGUAACCUGCCUGGUAGCGGGGGAUAACUAUUGGAAACGAUAGCUAAUACCGCAUAAAAUUGAUUAUUGCAUGAUACUUAAUUGAAAGAUGCAACUGCAUCACUACCAGAUGGACCUGCGUUGUAUUAGCUAGUUGGUGAGGUAACGGCUCACCAAGGCGACGAUACAUAGCCGACCUGAGAGGGUGAUCGGCCACACUGGGACUGAGACACGGCCCAGACUCCUACGGGAGGCAGCAGUAGGGAAUCUUCGGCAAUGGGGGGAACCCUGACCGAGCAACGCCGCGUGAGUGAAGAAGGGUUUCGGAUCGUAAAGCUCGGUUGUAAGAGAAGAACGGGUGUGAGAGUGGAAAGUUCACACUGUGGCGGUAUCUUACCAGAAAGGGACGGCUAACUACGUG
This 497-nucleotide ribosomal RNA is filed under the name uncultured bacterium. RNAcentral describes it as "partial 16S ribosomal RNA". It matches the Rfam family "Bacterial small subunit ribosomal RNA", at positions 28 to 507 of the family's 1533-position model. The record is from RNAcentral.